This 406-nucleotide ribosomal RNA is filed under the name uncultured bacterium. RNAcentral's name for it is "partial 16S ribosomal RNA". It matches the Rfam family "Bacterial small subunit ribosomal RNA", at positions 30 to 526 of the family's 1533-position model. The record is from RNAcentral.
AUUGAACGCUGGCGGCAGGCCUAACACAUGCAAGUCGAACGAGUGGCGGACGGGUGAGUAAUGUCUGGGAAACUGCCCGAUGGCGGGGGAUAACUACUGGAAACGGUAGCUAAUAACGCGUACCAUAGGAUGUGCCCAGAUGGGAUUGGCUUGUAGGUGAGGUAACGGCUCACCUAGGCGACGAUCCCUAGCUGGUCUGAGAGGAUGACCAGCCACACGGGAACUGAGCCACGGGCCAGAAUCCUACGGGAGGCAGCAGUGGGGAAUAUUGCACAAUGGGCGCAAGGCUGAUGCAGCAAUGCCGCGUGUAUGAAGAAGGCCUUCGGGUUGUAAAGUACUUUCAGCGGGGAGGCGUUACCCGCAGAAGAAGCACCGGCUAACUCCGUGCCAGCAGCCGCGGUAAUUC